This 497-nucleotide ribosomal RNA is filed under the name uncultured bacterium. RNAcentral's name for it is "partial 16S ribosomal RNA". It matches the Rfam family "Bacterial small subunit ribosomal RNA", at positions 28 to 507 of the family's 1533-position model. The record is from RNAcentral.
GAUGAACGCUGGCGGCGUGCCUAAUACAUGCAAGUCGAGCGAACAGACGAGGAGCUUGCUCCUCUGACGUUAGCGGCGGACGGGUGAGUAACACGUGGAUAACCUACCUAUAAGACUGGGAUAACUUCGGGAAACCGGAGCUAAUACCGGAUAAUAUAUUGAACCGCAUGGUUCAAUAGUGAAAGACGGUUUUGCUGUCACUUAGAGAUGGAUCCGCGCCGCAUUAGCUAGUUGGUAAGGUAACGGCUUACCAAGGCAACGAUGCGUAGCCGACCUGAGAGGGUGAUCGGCCACACUGGAACUGAGACACGGUCCAGACUCCUACGGGAGGCAGCAGUAGGGAAUAUUCCGCAAUGGGCGAAAGCCUGACGCAGCAACGCCGCGUGAGUGAUGAAGGUCUUCGGAUCGUAAAACUCUGUUAUUAGGGAAGAACAAAUGUGUAAGUAACUAUGCACGUCUUGACGGUACCUAAUCAGAAAGCCACGGCUAACUACGUG